GACGAACGCUGGCGGCGUGCUUAACACAUGCAAGUCGAACGGAAAGGCCCUGCUUUUGUGGGGUGCUCGAGUGGCGAACGGGUGAGUAACACGUGAGUAACCUGCCCUUGACUUUGGGAUAACUUCAGGAAACUGGGGCUAAUACCGGAUAGGAGCUCCUGCUGCAUGGUGGGGGUUGGAAAGUUUCGGCGGUUGGGGAUGGACUCGCGGCUUAUCAGCUUGUUGGUGGGGUAGUGGCUUACCAAGGCUUUGACGGGUAGCCGGCCUGAGAGGGUGACCGGCCACAUUGGGACGGAGAGACGGCCCAGACUCCUACGGGAGGCAGCAGGGGGGAAUAUUGCACAAUGGGCGGAAGCCUGAUGCAGCAACGCCGCGUGCGGGAUGACGGCCUGCGGGUUGUAAACCGCUUUCGCCUGUGACGAAGCGUGAGUGACGGUAAUGGGUAAAGAAGCACCGGCUAACUACGU
This 467-nucleotide ribosomal RNA is filed under the name uncultured bacterium. RNAcentral describes it as "partial 16S ribosomal RNA". It matches the Rfam family "Bacterial small subunit ribosomal RNA", at positions 28 to 506 of the family's 1533-position model. The record is from RNAcentral.